Molecule: non-coding RNA, 3722 nt
Organism: Coturnix japonica (Japanese quail)
Lineage: Eukaryota; Metazoa; Chordata; Aves; Galliformes; Phasianidae
Source: RefSeq, a predicted model, not a curated record
UGUGCUGUGCUGUGCUGUCCAGUGUGGAGCCAGAAGGGAGAAGGGAGAAGUGCCUAAACCUCAGGAGCUCCUUUGAACUGUGGUGUCCCAAGAAAAGCCAGUAUGCAUAUUACCUCAUUCCCUUCAAAGAACAUGGCUUCUUCCCACAGCUAAGGAGUGCUCUAUCCUAACACCUCUUCUGAUAAUAAACAUCUUUUGUUUAUUCAUAGAAUCAUAGAAUCACCAAGGUUGGAAAAGACCUAAAAGAUCAUCCAGUCCAGACGUUCACCUAUUACUAAUUGCUCCCACGAAACCAUGUCCCUCAACACAACAUCCAGUCUUUCCUUGAACACUCCCAGGGUCGGUGACUCCACCACUUCUCUGGGCAGUCCAUUCUCAUUCCAUCAUCACAUUCCAUUAUUACCGCAUCCCAGCUGAAAUCUGUAUGUUUUAGAACAUAAACAGAACUAAUAUAUCUUGGAAAUAUAUCUAUACAUACAUAGAAGCAAAAUGACAAGAUAUUUUUACCUUAGUUUUCUGAACAUGCACCUUUAGAAAAGCCUUACCAUCAGGUACCCUGCCAUCAGACAGAUGCUAGUCAGCACAUCUGCUACAUGCAUUAUCUUUGCUAUAGACUCUUCUCUGAACCUGUUUUGGCCUGCUUUGCAGGUAACAAGCGUUCUAAAUUAGUAAAUUAAGUUUUAGGAGUAUAGCAGUAUCCUGUUCAUUAAAAUACUUUCUAAUCCUCACGUAGGAAAUAGAUAGCAUGAAAUAUAUCCUGAGGAAUAUAUGGCUUUUAGAAUCAUAUUUCUUCUGGAUUUUUCGCAUUUGCUCAGACUUACGUAAUGGAAGUAAAGUGCUGAUAAAUUUAUCAGAAUCCAUGGGAAAAAAAUCAUAAGGGACCCACAUGUUUCCAGUAGUUUCAUGUGGCUCCCUUAGUUAAUGCUAUGCAUCGUAACACAUGUAUGCAUAAGAAGAAAACGUGCUUCCAGGUCAUACUGCUUCAGGUGAAUAAUUCUGGGUUGUAUGCUGAGAAUAAUGUUAAUGAGGGAAAACUACUGCUAGCAAUAACGACUACGAUGGAACCAUAUCAAUGUGCAAAAAGGGAAGACUAAUGUUUUGACAUAUUUGCAUUGUUGUUGCUUUAACUGAGGAAAGACAUGAAGUGCUGCAGUGGAGUUAGAAAUAGUGGUGGGAAGCUCACCAACACAAAUCAUACUGCAUUGUACCUGGAAGUGUUAUUGUCAAAAUGUUCAUGUCAAUGACAAGGAUACAAUCUAAACUGUGUCAUUUUUUCAAUACUGUUUUUGUCUGAAUCAAGAGCAUAUUUAGAUGCCUAGUGCAGUAACUUUGUAGCAAGAUAAUAGACUUUUUUGAUUCAUACGCUGUUUGAGUACAAAAACAUAAACCUAUUUCUUGGUGUUGUGAUAAAGGAAUGUAAGUCAGACUACCCUGAGAGCCAAAAUGUGUGGAAAUGACAAGCAUACAGACGACCGAGCUGCAGGAUCCUUCAGCAGAUCUGGCAGUGGUUGCUAGUCACAGGGACAGAAUAUAGCAGAGGGACUAUGAUAGCAAGGCUGGACAGAAUUGUGAAAGCCCUUCGUGCACAGAGGUCCAGCUGUCAAUCGUUGUCAAGUUCACACAGCCAAAGAUAAGACUUGCUUUCACCUGCCUACACAAUGGUAGUCAUGAAGUUUUGCAAACUGAACUCUUGAGAUAACUGUUCCCUGAAAGAGAAGUGCUCACUCAGAGCUGUGGGAGCAUGCAGGGACUUCAAAAUAACCUAAAUAACAUAGGCCUUGCUGUAAGCAGGCUAUGGAAAAGAGGGAGAUAGAUGCUGCUGAUUGCAGACCCAGGUGAAAACAUUGCAGUAGUGGAGGCAUCUUGCAGAGCUGCCAGCGUUAGAAUCCUGGCACUGAGUUACAGCUAGCACCACAAACAUAAAUUAGAUUCUCAUGUACUGUUGUAUUUGCAGCUUAAAGGAAAAACAAACAAACAAAAAGAAAAAAACCCAACCACAGCUUCACAGAGACUGGUUUCUGGUGCAGAAAUGAGAGGGCUUCUGCAGAUGUUAAGACUAGCUGACUGCAAAGCCACAUGUGGAAAUAUACUUAGAAAUUCAUGGUUGCCUUUCUGACUUUAUUAUCCUGGGUUCAGUAAAUGAGGAAUAUGCUCUUAAUUUCUUAGAUAGCCUGUCACUGAGGAAUUUGUUUGUGCACACAACUAUUUUGCUAACCACCAUUGUGGUUUCUGGGUAUGCCUUGAGAAUUGCAUUCAUUGAAGAAUUUCAGUGUUUGACACCAUUGAAAAUUAAAUGUCCAGAAUCACAGACCGUUUUAACAUUUGCGACAUUAUUAAGUUUGUUAUUUUAGACUAUGCAGACUCUAAGAAAAAUACCACUGUUCUCUGUUCAGUGAAUUUCAUUCAGUCUCCUCUGAUCAGUGAAGAGCACGUAUGGCUUUCCAGCAGGAAAAAGGGAUUGUGUAAGGAGCUAAGUGGCUCAAGUAUGUGAUUCCUGGCAUAUUUUCUAUGAAACACAGUGCCAGAAAAACAUUUAUUUACUGUAAACAAACUGACCAAAGAACCUUGCAAGCUGCCAUUUGUGGAAAGAAGGAAAUGAAUUAAUUAAGCUUUUGGGGGUUGGUGGCUGCAUGUUUUUUACUAAGCAACACCCACCACAUGAGGUACUGAGUAUACAGUAUGGUUGCAGUAUGUGAUGUGGAUACAGAAUUGGAGACAAGAUGUUUGGAGAGAGAGGGGUUCUGGCAUGCAGAAGUGCUAGUCAAUAAGAUGGCCUAGGCUUAAUGUUUGUUAUACAUUUCAAUUACUGUCUUCAGUAUGUGGUCCUGGAACGUUGCAAAUAUUUGCUGUAUUGCAUCUAUUACCAUCUAUAACUCACAAAAGUGCAUUUAAAUUAUAUUGAUAUAAUACUAUAUUUAUAUGUGUUACUGCUAACACCUGAAGAGUGUGAUCUGUAACAAGUAAUGCCCUGGCCCUGUUAUUGGAUUUUAAGAAUAUUUUCAUUCUGAAGGUGAAAAGUAAAGGAGGAUUUGCUGAAGACAAAAAUCUGAUUUUAGACAUCACCUGGAGCACGAGACACCAUCUGUGUCCAAGAUGCAGGAUACGGACUUGCAGAUGACAAACAGUUGCACUCUCUUCUUUAGUAGAUGAAUGUGAAGGAUAAAAAGGAACAAAGCUAAAGAAAAAAACAAAAAAAAUUGAGCUAUCAAAAAUAGAGGACUUUUCUUGUGUACAAUUAGUAGCUCUUAAACUUAAAUCUGUUUUCCAUCUCUUCAUUUUAGGCAUUUAUGUAGACUGAGAGGUACACUAAAUUAUCUCUGACAGUAUAUGGAUGUGCACAUGGCAUUGGCAGUGCCCUCUGCAGGCUUUUAUCUGGUAAGCAAAGGGAGCUGUUGCAACCACACUCUAUUUUGAUUAAGUAUUUAUUCUGGUUGAUCUAGUUCUUUCUAAAAAUUUUGCUAGUGCAGCAUCAUCUGAACUUUGGAAUUUUCUUGACAAGGCUGCCCGGUAACAUGCACAGCAUUAUAAGUGAACAGCCAUAAAACACUAAACAAACAAAUUACAGUCUUGUUUUAAGAGCUUGGUUUGUUAUCAGUUUGUAUCUUAACAACCUCACUGCCCUUUGGUUAACAGUUAUUCCAGAUCCCAUCUCUCUUCCCCUUGGGAGAUUCUCUCUGUCUGUACUCAACUGGAUAUGUCUGAAAUAAAUGAGUAUCAAUUCA